RNAcentral lists this ribosomal RNA (260 nucleotides) under uncultured Oscillospiraceae bacterium. RNAcentral describes it as "partial 16S ribosomal RNA". It matches the Rfam family "Bacterial small subunit ribosomal RNA", at positions 79 to 339 of the family's 1533-position model. The record is from RNAcentral. Lineage: Bacteria; Bacillati; Bacillota; Clostridia; Eubacteriales; Oscillospiraceae.
AUUGUUCUGUGACUGAGUGGCGGACGGGUGAGUAACGCGUGGAUAACCUGCCUUUCAGAGGGGGACAACAGUUGGAAACGACUGCUAAUACCGCAUAACACAUAGGUGUCGCAUGGCACUUAUGUCAAAGAUUUAUCGCUGAAAGAUGGCCUCGCGUCUGAUUAGCUAGUUGGUGAGGUAACGGCCCACCAAGGCGACGAUCAGUAGCCGGACUGAGAGGUUGAACGGCCACAUUGGGACUGAGACACGGCCCAGACUCC